This is a non-coding RNA of Camelus ferus (Wild Bactrian camel), 73 nucleotides long. The record is from Rfam. Lineage: Eukaryota; Metazoa; Chordata; Mammalia; Artiodactyla; Camelidae.
GGAGGGCACAGCUCAGCGGUAGAGCACGUGCUUAGCAGGCACGAGGGCCUGAGUUCAGUCCCCAGCCCCUCCA